RNAcentral lists this ribosomal RNA (329 nucleotides) under Gonostoma elongatum (elongated bristlemouth fish). RNAcentral describes it as "12S ribosomal RNA". It matches the Rfam family "Bacterial small subunit ribosomal RNA", at positions 870 to 1366 of the family's 1533-position model. Lineage: Eukaryota; Metazoa; Chordata; Actinopteri; Stomiiformes; Gonostomatidae. The record is from RNAcentral.
CGCCAGGGGACUACAAGCACUAGCUUAAAACCCAAAGGACUUGGCGUACUUCAACCCCCCUAGAGGAGCCUGUUCUUUAACCGAUAACCCCCGUUUGACCUCACCACCCCUUGUCAUCCCCGCCUAUAUACCGCCGUCGCCAGCUUACCCCCCCCAGUGUCCCACAGUAAGCAUAAUAGACACAACCUAAGACGUCAGGUCGAGGUGUAGCGCACGCAGUGGAUAAAAAUAGGCUACAUUUCCUACAUCAGGACACCGCGAAAGGUGCCAUGAAACUAGCACCCGAAGCUGAAUUUAGUAGUAAGAAGAGAACAGAGCGCUCUCCUAAA